Long non-coding RNA from Dermochelys coriacea (leatherback sea turtle), 490 nucleotides. RefSeq lists it as uncharacterized. Lineage: Eukaryota; Metazoa; Chordata; Testudines; Dermochelyidae. The transcript is spliced from 4 exons. The record is from RefSeq and is a predicted model, not a curated record.
GAGGCCAGUCUCUCUGUGGUCUGUGAGGGAGAAGGAUUGGCUGCCUAGGAGUAUCAUGGCUAGAGCAGUAGGUGCUUCUGGCUGGCUGGCUGUUGCUAGAUUGAGGCCCUGGGGGAAAAGCAAAUAAAGUGCUAGGGCUGCCUGCACUUGCCCUGAGGGAAGUGGCUAAUGCAGACUGCUGCUUGCACCUGGAGUGAGGGACUAGUGACUGCAGCAGGCCAUUGAGGUCUAGCUCCAGUUCAGCUGUUGGUGGCCAGCAACUGGAGUUGCAGCACCCAUGUAAACAUCAAGUUACACUGGAUGGGACCCUGUAAGAGAAUGGAGGAUCAACAGACCACUACCAUAUCUUGCAGCUCCAAGGACCCUCAUGACAACAGGACAGCUCUGGACUCUGUCCAGGUAGGAGGAACCCACAGGUCUGAAAUAGGAUCCACUCCCCAGUGCUGUAUAAAUUGCCUUGUUGACAUAAACACUUUCAGAAAUUAAAAAG